GUGAGGAAUUUUCCGCAAUGGGCGAAAGCCUGACGGAGCAAUGCCGCGUGAAGGAUGAAGGCCUAUGGGUUGUAAACUUCUUUUCUCAGAAAAGAAUUAUGACGGUAUCUGAGGAAUAAGCAUCGGCUAACUCUGUGCCAGCAGCCGCGGUAAGACAGAGGAUGCAAGCGUUAUCCGGGAUGAUUGGGCGUAAAGCGUCUGUAGGUUGUUUAAAAAGUAUUCUGUCAAAGAUUAGGGCUUAACCCUAGAUAGGCAGAAUAAACUUUUAAGCUAGAGUUUGGUAGAGGCAGAGGGAAUUCCCGGUGGAGCGGUGAAAUGCGUAGAUAUCGGGAGGAACACCAAAGGCGAAGGCACUCUGCUGGGCCAAUACUAACACUGAGAGACGAAAGCGAGGGGAGCAAAUGGGAUUAGAAACCCCUGUAGUCC
This 426-nucleotide ribosomal RNA is filed under the name uncultured bacterium. RNAcentral's name for it is "partial 16S ribosomal RNA". It matches the Rfam family "Bacterial small subunit ribosomal RNA", at positions 354 to 796 of the family's 1533-position model. The record is from RNAcentral.